AACGAACGCUGGCGGCAUGCCUAACACAUGCAAGUCGAACGAGACCUUCGGGUCUAGUGGCGCACGGGUGCGUAACGCGUGGGAACCUGCCCUUAGGUUCGGAAUAACUCCCCGAAAGGGGUGCUAAUACCGGAUAGUGUCUUCGGACCAAAGAUUUAUCGCCUUUGGAUGGGCCCGCGUUGGAUUAGCUAGUUGGUAGGGUAAAAGCCUACCAAGGCGACGAUCCAUAGCUGGUCUGAGAGGAUGAUCAGCCACACUGGGACUGAGACACGGCCCAGACUCCUACGGGAGGCAGCAGUGGGGAAUAUUGGACAAUGGGCGAAAGCCUGAUCCAGCAAGGCCGCGUGAGUGAUGAAGGCCUUAGGGUUGUAAAGCUCUUUUAACCGGGAUGAUAAUGACAGUACCGGGAGAAUAAGCUCCGGCUAACUCCGUG
This 433-nucleotide ribosomal RNA is filed under the name uncultured bacterium. RNAcentral describes it as "partial 16S ribosomal RNA". It matches the Rfam family "Bacterial small subunit ribosomal RNA", at positions 29 to 507 of the family's 1533-position model. The record is from RNAcentral.